GUACACUCCUACGGGAGGCAGCAGUGGGGAAUAUUGGACAAUGGGCGCAAGCCUGAUCCAGCCAUGCCGCGUGAGUGAUGAAGGCCCUAGGGUUGUAAAGCUCUUUCACCGGUGAAGAUAAUGACGGUAACCGGAGAAGAAGCCCCGGCUAACUUCGUGCCAGCAGCCGCGGUAAUACGAAGGGGGCUAGCGUUGUUCGGAUUUACUGGGCGUAAAGCGCACGUAGGCGGACUAUUAAGUCAGGGGUGAAAUCCCGGGGCUCAACCCCGGAACUGCCUUUGAUACUGGUAGUCUUGAGUUCGAGAGAGGUGAGUGGAAUUCCGAGUGUAGAGGUGAAAUUCGUAGAUAUUCGGAGGAACACCAGUGGCGAAGGCGGCUCACUGGCUCGAUACUGACGCUGAGGUGCGAAAGCGUGGGGAGCAAACAGGAUUAGAAACCCUAGUAGUCCC
RNAcentral lists this ribosomal RNA (449 nucleotides) under uncultured organism. RNAcentral's name for it is "partial 16S ribosomal RNA". It matches the Rfam family "Bacterial small subunit ribosomal RNA", at positions 331 to 797 of the family's 1533-position model. The record is from RNAcentral.